Molecule: long non-coding RNA, 458 nt
Organism: Musca domestica (house fly)
Lineage: Eukaryota; Metazoa; Arthropoda; Insecta; Diptera; Muscidae
Exons: 2
Source: RefSeq, a predicted model, not a curated record
GAGUUGUUUAUUUACAUUUAUAAACCAUCCAAAUAUGCAAUUAAUUUUGUGAAAUUAAAUGUUUGUGGCAAAUAUUCAGUGUGGUUAAAGGGAGAAACCCGUACUUCCCGUGAAAUGGGGUCCGGAAGAUUCCCAAAUUGCAGUCUUUUCUUCAUUAUUUCUAAACUUUGAUUCGCGUAGCCUGAUUUGAACAUGUCGUAGCGGAAAAAAACUCAAGGACAGAAAGGAAGCAACCUAAACGAUUAUUAUGUAAAAAAAACUUAUGUUCGCGAAGGGAUUGUUCGCAAAUUCCAGAGGAGAAGAUUUCAAGUUCCAUUCGAAGGCCGGCUACUUAAAAAGAGUAUAUUGGUUGCAUAGAUUGAUAUAUAUUGAUUAACUGUUUCAAAAUAAAUUCUAAUAUUUGCGCCAAUUCUCGGUCAGAUGUGAAAAGGGACAAUAUCCAUUCAAUUCUUUCAGUA